UACAGGGGGGGCAAGCGUUGUUCGGAAUUACUGGGCGUAAAGGGUUCGUAGGUGGCCAACUAAGUCAGAUGUGUAGUCCCUCAGAUUAGCUGGGGAACUGCUUCUGAUACUGGUUGGCUUGAGUGCAGGAGAGGAAUGCGGAAUUCCAGGUGUAGCGGUGGAAUGCGUAGAUAUCUGGAGGAACACCGGUGGCGAAGGCGGCAUUCUGGACUGUAACUGACACUGAGGAACGAAAGCCAGGGGAGCAAACGGG
RNAcentral lists this ribosomal RNA (253 nucleotides) under uncultured Acidobacteriota bacterium. RNAcentral describes it as "uncultured Acidobacteria bacterium partial 16S ribosomal RNA". It matches the Rfam family "Bacterial small subunit ribosomal RNA", at positions 524 to 776 of the family's 1533-position model. The record is from RNAcentral. Lineage: Bacteria; Pseudomonadati; Acidobacteriota.